UACGAAGGGAGCUAGCGUUGUUCGGAAUCACUGGGCGUAAAGCGCACGUAGGCGGAUGUGUCAGUCAGGGGUGAAAUCCCGGAGCUCAACUUCGGAACUGCCCUUGAUACAGCACGUCUUGAGUCCGGAAGAGGUGGGUGGAAUUCCUAGUGUAGAGGUGAAAUUCGUAGAUAUUAGGAAGAACACCGGUGGCGAAGGCGGCCCACUGGACCGAGACUGACGCUGAGGCGCGAAAGCGUGGGGAGCGAACAGG
Molecule: ribosomal RNA, 253 nt
Filed under: uncultured bacterium
Lineage: Bacteria
Description: partial 16S ribosomal RNA
Rfam family: Bacterial small subunit ribosomal RNA
Source: RNAcentral